Molecule: long non-coding RNA, 247 nt
Organism: Helianthus annuus (common sunflower)
Lineage: Eukaryota; Viridiplantae; Streptophyta; Magnoliopsida; Asterales; Asteraceae
Exons: 2
Source: RefSeq, a predicted model, not a curated record
UUAUGCUUAGAUCUGGACAGGCGUUCGUUGACGAAGGUAUGUGUUUUAGUGUUUUAUUUUUCUCGAUUGUAGUUUUUGGAUUUCCGAUCGACAUUAUAUGUCAUCGUGCAGGUGGAAGCGGUGUGAUUACUGAUUCCUUUGAACAGUUUACGGGGAGUAGCAACUUCAGCCACUUUUAUAAGUGUUUGAUCAAACAGUUUUAAGGAAGCACACUUCUUGAGGGCAGUCACCCAAUUCUUGAAUCAUU